UAUUUGCUUUUAAUGUCAUUGUGCCUAAAGUGGUAUUUUUCUAAUUCUCGUCGUUAGUUUUUAUCUCUACUCUUUUCUAUACCUUCUAUAGGCGUAAGAGUGGAACUUUCAGGUUUACCGGGGACAAGAGAGGUUUGAUUGGAAAUAGGUCUUGGGCGUAAGAGUGGAAUUUUCAGGUUUACCGGGGACAAGAAGUUUGAUUGGAAAUAGGUCUUGGGUAAGUUUCCUCCGUAUUCCCUAUUCUCUCAAAUUUCUCGGUGCUCUUUAAUUUUCUAUUGUAUGUUUGGGUGUUGUGUGUCGAAUGUGUGUGUUUAGUAGGAAAAUUAAUUUUCAAUAUGUUGAUUUCUUUGUUUUCUUCUAAUGUUGAACUUCCGUUGUCUAUUAGAAAUUUCUUUAGUUUCGUGUGCAAAUAAAUUUAUUUUCGUUCAACGACAUUGUGAAUUAAGAGGUAGUUUUCUUCUUCUCGUUUUUACAUUUGACCUCUACUCCUUUCGCUACCAUCUAUUAACGUAAGGGUGAAAUUUUUCAGGUUUCCCGGGGACAAGAAUAGAUUCGGCGGAGAUACUUCUAUUGUAUAUUUAUUUCGUAUUCCCUAUUAUCCUCCAUUUCGCAGUUUUCUUUAUUCUUCUGUUUUAUCUUUUGGGCAUUGUUUGUUGACUGGAAAUAUGUAUUAGAGAAUUAAUUUUCAAUCGUUUGAUUGAUUUUGUUUGUUUGUAAGCUUCAUGUUGUGUUUUGUAAUGCUCGUUUCUUUCGUUU
Vitis riparia (riverbank grape) is the source of this 756-nucleotide long non-coding RNA. RefSeq lists it as uncharacterized. The record is from RefSeq and is a predicted model, not a curated record. Lineage: Eukaryota; Viridiplantae; Streptophyta; Magnoliopsida; Vitales; Vitaceae. The transcript has 2 exons.